RNAcentral lists this transfer RNA (70 nucleotides) under Megalops atlanticus (tarpon). Its description in RNAcentral is "tRNA-OTHER". The record is from RNAcentral. Lineage: Eukaryota; Metazoa; Chordata; Actinopteri; Elopiformes; Megalopidae.
CACAGUGUAGCAUAGUGGUAAGGAGCACGGCUCGUAACCGAAAGGUUGCUGGUUCGGUCCCCCACUGGGG